UCCGAGUUGACCCCGGCAGUCUCCUAUGAGUCCCCACCAUUACGUGCUGGCAACAUAGAACGAGGGUUGCGCUCGUUGCGGGACUUAACCCAACAUCUCACGACACGAGCUGACGACAGCCAUGCAGCACCUGUGUGCAGGUUCUCUUUCGAGCACUCCCUGAUCUCUCAGGGAUUCCUGCCAUGUCAAGGGUAGGUAAGGUUUUUCGCGUUGCAUCGAAUUAAUCCACAUCAUCCACCGCUUGUGCGGGUCCCCGUCAAUUCCUUUGAGUUUUAGCCUUGCGGCCGUACUCCCCAGGCGGGGCACUUAAUGCGUUAGCUACGGCACAGAACCCAAAACGGACCCCACACCUAGCGCCCACCGUUUACAGCAUGGACUAC
Molecule: unclassified non-coding RNA, 380 nt
Filed under: uncultured Actinomycetes bacterium
Lineage: Bacteria; Bacillati; Actinomycetota; Actinomycetes
Description: uncultured actinobacterium contains 16S-23S intergenic spacer region
Source: RNAcentral